GCUUCCUCCAAUCUUCCUCGAUUCUUCACUUCCGAUACUUCAAUGGCUUCCAACAACUCCACUCCACCUCUCACUGUUGAUUCCUUAAACUCUAAGGUUUUGAAAUGUGAGUAUGCUGUUCGUGGUGAAAUUGUGUCUCUGGCUCAGAAAUUACAGCAAGAUUUGUAAGCAAAUCCAAGUUCUCAUCCUUUUGAGGAGGUAUUUU
This is a long non-coding RNA of Helianthus annuus (common sunflower), 205 nucleotides long. RefSeq lists it as uncharacterized. The record is from RefSeq and is a predicted model, not a curated record. Lineage: Eukaryota; Viridiplantae; Streptophyta; Magnoliopsida; Asterales; Asteraceae. The transcript has 3 exons.